GAGGAUAUAGCUCAGCGGUAGACACAUGCUUUGCAUGCAUGAGGUCAUGGGUUCAAUCCCCAGUACCUCCA
RNAcentral lists this transfer RNA (71 nucleotides) under Camelus ferus (Wild Bactrian camel). It matches the Rfam family "tRNA". Rfam says of the family: Transfer RNA (tRNA) molecules are approximately 80 nucleotides in length. Their secondary structure includes four short double-helical elements and three loops (D, anti-codon, and T loops). Lineage: Eukaryota; Metazoa; Chordata; Mammalia; Artiodactyla; Camelidae. The record is from Rfam by way of RNAcentral.